UCGGGUUGUGAAGCACUUUUGUCCGGAAAGAAAUCCUCUGGGUUAAUACCUCGGGGGGAUGACGGUACCGGAAGAAUAAGCACCGGCUAACUACGUGCCAGCAGCGCGGUAAUCGUAGGGUGCGAGCGUUAAUCGGAAUUACUGGGCGUAAAGCGUGCGCAGGCGGUUCGCUAAGACCGAUGUGAAAUCCCCGGGCUUAACCUGGGAACUGCAUUGGUGACUGGCGGGCUAGAGUGUGGCAGAGGGGGGUAGAAUUCCACGUGUAGCAGUGAAAUGCGUAGAGAUGUGGAGGAAUACCGAUGGCGAAGGCAGCCCCCUGGGCUAACACUGACGCUCAUGCACGAAAGCGUGGGGAGCAAACAGGAUUAGAUACCCUGGUAGUCCACGCCCUAAACGAUGUCAACUAGUUGUUGGGGAUUCAUUUCCUUAGUAACGUAGCUAACGCGUGAAGUUGACCGCCUGGGGAGUACGGUCGCAAGAUUAAAACUCAAAGGAAUUGACGGGGACCCGCACAAGCGGUGGAUGAUGUGGAUUAAUUCGAUGCAACGCGAAAAACCUUACCUACCCUUGACAUGGUCGGAAUCCUGCUG
This 590-nucleotide ribosomal RNA is filed under the name uncultured Burkholderia sp. RNAcentral's name for it is "bacterial SSU rRNA". It matches the Rfam family "Bacterial small subunit ribosomal RNA", at positions 418 to 1003 of the family's 1533-position model. Lineage: Bacteria; Pseudomonadati; Pseudomonadota; Betaproteobacteria; Burkholderiales; Burkholderiaceae. The record is from RNAcentral.